AAAGUAUAAGCAAAGACAUGGUAAAGAAAGGAUUCAGGCUAGUCGGACCAACUGUCAUACAUUCCUUCAUGCAAGCGGCUGGCUUUACAAAUGAUCACUUAACAACUUGCCCACGACACCUCCAAUGCCUUGCAUUGGCAUCUCAGACUGGGACCUUUGUAGCGGCAGCUCUAUAAGAUUAUAUAAUAUAUUGAAAAUGAGAUGAGAAUGACCUUUUAUCAUACCACUGUCAUAAAAUCUUGUCCUCCACUGACCCAAGACCUUUUUUUGUGACGAAGGGUUGUUACAUAAUCAAUUAAAUGCAAUUUUUCCAGAUAUGCACUUAUAAUUUCUUUUGUUGAUUAAUACAGUAAAAUAUUAUCACAAAAUAUGUACUCUUCGAGGGUUCCAGAUAUAAAACAUACACAAUUAAGCUAGGAAAAUCUUCUUUUUAAUGAAGUGCUCGUUUGGCGAGGACUGCCAUGUGCAGCUUGAGUGACAGAGCAUGGACUUAAUUCUGAAAAGAAAGAGCAAAUAUGUGCACAAAGUCGGAGUUCCUCCAGGUAUCUGAAGCAGGACUAACUGGAACAUGUGUUACACACAAAAAAUUAAUCAUUUGGCGCAAAAAUAUGUAAAAUCUAUCUUGGUCCCCGAAAACAACACAGUUGGACAAAAAUUAUCCAAGGCGUGCAGAUACAACCAUGGUAGAAGUUCGUAAAGUUUCUUUAAAAAAACCAUCCCAGAACUAGUUGCAGGAUCAAUUGGAUUCUUGAAAGUUAAAAUCAAGCCAUGUGCAUAUGCAGAUAUGCUGUAAAGUUGACAUGAACAGAAUUUGCUUUAUUUAUUUUGACUUCUUUAAGGUCAUGCUCCCCACAGAAUAAAAUCUCUGAUUCUAACACUCACUUCCAGUAGUUUAGUUUUGUGGUAGCAAUAACUCUAAGUCUCAGAGCCCGGAUAACUAACUUGAUCUACAUCGGUUCUACUUGAUGAAUCACAUAUCACGAAAUUAGAGGGAACUUGGAUCUUUUAAUUUCUUAGAUUAUAGGCCUCUUGCGAGAGGAAUAUCUCAGAAACUCUGCUUCUAUCUUGAGAGAAUCUUGUUUCGCUAAGAGCUACUUGCAAUUUGAUCCGGGGGUCCUCUACCCCCGGACCCCAACCCUUAAGAAUAUGCCAAUCUCAGCUCAAAGUUAAAAAUUAUUUCCCCGCGAAAAUGAAAGCAAAAUAAUGCCACAGUAAAGGUCUUAAUCAGCAUUGUAGAGCCCUUUCAACUUUUGGUGGAUCCGUCAACCAGAAUAGCUUAAUUUCAAUUUUACACCGCUUAAAAAAAUUAUCCGCAUUUCUGUACAAAACUAAGCUGCAUUGUCUGGCAAAUUAGCAACACGUAGGACACGGACUCUUUUCUGGCUGUGUAUACCUGUUGCUCGCGAUGAGUCAUUCAAAUCCUGCAAAAUUUGUCGAGGUCUACUGGCAAUAUUUAAAAUGUGGAUCCACUUGUGAUGUUACUGGAGAUGCUUACUCUUAAGCUAAUGAAUUUCAUACUACAGAUAAAAGGGUACCCCAGAAUUAAAUGGUUGCUAUGUGUACAUUGCAUGUUAAUAUGAUUGAAUUGAAUGAAAAUAAUUAAGAAACCGGGCCAUCUCCUCUCUCUAUUGCGAAACUAGAUGCCCUCAGAGACAAUAAGACAGAUCUCUAUGCGCUUUUAGCUUGGAGCUAGUUUCUGUGGUGAGGAUUGCAGGACAUCCCUUCUUAACAUACUUUUUUUUUCACCAUAUUAUGUAUUUUUUAAAUAUACAUGAACCGGAGCUGGGACUCGAAACAUGACCUCUAGCCAUUUCGCAAAGUUUAAAACUAUCAUCUAUGACAUAAUGUGACUUAAUGUGAUAAUCAGUGAUUUCUGAGUAAUUUAUGAUUUAUGAGUAACUCUUUUUAAAAAAAAUAUAAAAAAAUUAAGUUACUGAAAAAAAUAUUCAAACUAACUCUUGCCUUUAAGUCAGUUUCGGAUUUUUUUCGAAUUUUAAACUAACUUCUGCCUAGUUACAUAAACGGCCUCCUCGUCGAUAGUCCGGAAAGAAGGAAAGAGUCAUUGCCACUUGAUUAUACCGACUUAUACAUGGAUACCUUAAUCAAAAAACCGGUGAUUGUCCGUCGUAAAUUCAGAACUAUACUCUGAUAAUCAGAAGUUUGAUUACAUGAUGGUUUCCGUACACGGAUCAUAAGACUGUACUCUCUAUGUAUUACAAUAAUUAUUUAAAUCAAUAAUGUUUUAUAGCACUAGAUAUGAACUUUCUGAGUGCCGACCAAGAAACUAGAUAAAAUAAAAUAGAGGAAAUUGAUGAGAAAUGAUGCAGAUUGUGAAUAAUGGAUGGUUCGUUCGUACGUAGCUACGUGCGCAUAUCGAUCAAGCAUUGCACAUGCUAGAGAUCACAUAAACACACACAAGGUGGAACAAGAUUAAUAUGGAAUACUAAUAGCCUAUAUUAAUACUCUAAUUCCUAGUGAAAGACAUGUUUGAUGCUUAUGUUUCUACCCAAUAGUUCACGAGGGUACAUAAUCACACAAUCCGGAUUAAAAUUUCAGAUUUAUCAAAAAAAAUUUUUAAUAAAUCUUGAAUUAGUAGUUCAAUCAAUUAAUUUCGAUUCUUUUGUUAAAAAAAUUAAUUUCGAUUCUCUAUUUUUACGAUUGACGUGAUUGAUGUAAGAGCAUCUCCAACCAUACAAAGUCCUUGGCUAAAAAAUGAGUUAGGCAUUCCAAAACUAAAAAAUAUAGCCAACGUCCUGAAAAAAUAGCACUCCAACCACACUAAUCUUUUGUCUAUAAUUUUAGCCAACCUCCUAUGGAUGGCUAUAUUUGUCGAACCUCUACAGGUCUGUAAGAAAUUUGUAGGAAGAUUACACAUCAUUUAUUACCAUAUUCAACUGAUAUAUUCUAUUUUAACAAUUUAAAAUAUUAAUAACAUACUAUUUUUAAAUUAUAGCCAAACAGUCAAUACCAUUGAAGCAAAAUGUCUUACAGGUUCAGUAAAUUUUACAUAAUGUUUUACAGGUCCAAUUUAACCAACAAAUAGCCAACACCGUUGGAGAUGCUCUCAGUAGGAUAAGUUGUGGCUGAGGAUCGAGUCAAAUCGAUAAGGGAAAAAAGAAGUAAUAAAUGGGCAAUCAAUCAUGUGUUUUGCCUCGGUUAUGUCUAAGAAAUGCAAGGAAUUAUUGAUGCAAAUAUGUCGGAUCAACACAUGGGCUGUUUCUUUUGUUUCAUUUCAGGCCAAGUAAACUUCUAAUCCUUCAUUAUUUUCAGAGGUUACUUCCUUGUGAUUCUUGCACACGGCUUCUAAACUCAUUGUAUGUAUAAUCCUGUAUCUAUCUUGAUCGACUUGGACAAAAUUUGACCAACUCGUGUUAAAAAAUGUAUCUGUAUCUUGAUGGUGUACUAACUUUGGAUUUACCGGCAACUUGUUAAAAAAUGUAUAAAUUCUAUUACAACAGGUGGGCUGUUUCUUUUUUUUUUUUAAUUUUAUUUUGAUUUUUGGUUUAAAAAGUAUGAUGAAGUAAUUUGAAGUGAUAUUUGCCAUUUCAUAGUGUUUGUGGGUGAGAUUUCUUUUUGUUUUUAGCAAAUAAUAAAGGGAUACUCAAUAUUUGCUUUUGGUGCAUUAUAAAGUUCAUAUAAUUAAUCUUGAUACUCUUGUUUAAAGCAUCCUACGAGUGAGUAGUUUUGAUACUCUUGUUUAAAGCAUCCUACGAGUGAGUAGUUCUCAUGUAAUUAUUCAAUAAAUAAAUUUGGUUAUAGAAAUUGGGAAUCGGAACUAAAUGAUAGAAUUAUCGAUUCAAGAUAGAAAUUUAUCAGACAUUUUUUUAAUAAAUCAGAAAUUAGUCAAAUUGGAGUGUAAUUGAUAAAUUAAUUAAAAAAAUAAAACUAAUUAGAAAUUGGUCAAAAUUUUUAAAUAAAUCAGAAAUUUUUAUAAUACCGUGAAAAUGUGGUUUACGUUUACCACGGUGCUAUAAGGUAUGAUCCACCGGUCAUCAGAAUUAUGGUCUUGUUUGUCAUAGUGUUGCUUUUUUUAUUAUUCCUAGUGUGGAGGAAUACUUAGGUAAUUUCCUAUCAUCUUCUUCCUUCACAUGUCAAGAAGUAUGAAAAGUAUAUGUUUUCAGCACAAUCAGGUAGUUGAAACUUUGAAAUGAAAUGACAAAAACCAAAAAGUGACAAAAGUUAUGAACUACACAAUCACAGUGAAUUUUCUUUCAAGUAAAGUGAAUGUUUUUACCACCAAAUGAAUUUUUUUACCGAAAAUGUCUAUUUGUUAUAUGCUUAAGGGUUUGAAUAUCUGUUAUAAUAUUUUAUAAAAAAACAUAAUUAAAGAUUUUAUUUUCAUAAAAGAUUUCACAUUAUCAUAUUUAAAUGAUAUAUAAUUUAUAACAAUAUAUAAUAUUAAUAACAUAUUAUUUUUAAAAUAUAAUUAGUCAAUAUGACACCACCGUAAAGAUACAAUAUUUUAGGAAUUUAAAUUCUUUUAUACUAUAUUAUGGUGUUUCAAUUUUUCACUUGGUGCUUUGUAAGAUAUUGCUUGCAGCUGAAAACUUAUUAACUUUUGUCCUGCACUGCUUGCUGUUCAAGUUCUUGAUUUACUUUGAGUAUUGAAAUCAUAUUCCUUUCUUCACCAUUACUUAUUUCACUCUCUUAUAUCACAACUAAAUAAAGUUUAGUAUCAACCAAAUGUCAACUAAGUCUCUCUGUAGCCUUUUGCUAUUACUUUAAUUUUGAUUAGUUCCAACAACUAACUGAACUGGAAUUUUAUCUAAUGACUCUUUUCUUGAUUUUGCAUAUUGUGAAAGUUGAGGGACAGAGAGAUAGAAUUAGAUAACAGCUCUAAAGGAAGAGGAAUCAUUGGCCUUCCUGGCCCUCAAGCCUUCUCACUCACUCCAGCUGCAACAGUAAAAGUAACUAGGCCAUGAAAAUCAGGGGCCAUUGGAAUUAUGGGCUGGCUUAGUGCCACUGCCACCACCUAGCCGCUCCCAUUUCGGAUCGAUUUUAAAAUUUGGCACUUUUUGCUCGUUCGCAGUAGAUGGGUAAAAUAUCCGAAGAUAAGUCCAGGUCGCCUGUCAAGGUCAGUUUCGGAUGAGAAUUAGUCUCAUUGAAUGUUAUAUGGGUACCUUCCGGAUGUGAGGAGUUGUUCCGCAUCAGUUGUGGGAGGAGACAAUUUUGAGACCUUUUGGAAGGUGUCAAAAAUAAAACCGUGCGGAUAAGUCCCAAAACAGACAACAUCAUAUUAUUAAGGAAUUAUAGCUUGCUUAGCGGAUCCAACAAGUGGUAUCAGAGCGAGGCUGGUAUAAAUGAUGAUGAAAUCACGACGAGUAAUGUUAUUUUUUUGAAGAAAAACAAAACAAGACAAGUAAUGCAUUUCGGGUUAUGCAGAAAUAAGAAAAGUGAGACUAUUAUUUUGAGACGGGAACGAGUAUUUCUCCAUGCAUGAAACAUGUAAUGUGUACAAUAUUCGAAACUAACCCAUAACCCCAGGUAAGGGGGAAGUAAGGGAGGUAGUGUCAUUUUCAUAUGGUCACAUUAAUCAAAAUAAUAAUGCCCUAAACAAUGGGAUGUAUGGCAGACUCCAACCCUUUCAUGUUACAACCUUGCUAACUCAACCCUACCAUAUUCUCUUUAAAUACCACUUAAUCCCCAUAUCUUUCCCCCAACCUCUUCUCAAAUCAUUUCCAUAUUCCACUUGUAUUCAUUUCCUUCUCAUAACUCUUCAACAUACAAUCAUUUGAACAAAAUACUCAAACCUGAAAAUGUGUUCCUCCAAGCUAAAACUUCAAGAAACCGGUUCUUAUGACAUCAAUGGCCGCCCUGUUCUGCAGCCAACUUGCAACAGAGUUCCACUGAUAGAACGUCGCAAUUCCCUAAAGAAAAACUCCGCAAAAUCUGUCACUGCACCACCAAAGAUCCAAUCUUUACCAACAAAAAUUAGUACCACCCCCACCAAUACUAAUGUGAGUCCUAAAGUAAAGCCUUCAGUAAUCACCCCACCUAUAUCUCCUAAGAUUAAAUCUCCACGACAACCAGCAAUCAAGCGAGGAAACGAUCCAAAUGGAUUGAGUUCUAGUACUGACAAGGUAGUGCUGACACCAAGAACCACUACCAAAGUUGUGACACCGGUGAAAAAGUCGAAGAAAAUUGCACCUUCUGUCGACACCACUACAUUAAAUUACUCACCUUCAUCCAUAGUCGAGGCUCCCGGAAGCAUUGCAGCAGCAAGGAGGGAACAAGUUGCAAAUAUGCAAGUGCAGAGGAAAUCCAAAAUUGCUCAUUAUGGAAGAACAAAGUCUGCAAGGUUUGAGCCUGCAAUAGUACCCCUUGAUGAUGCUACAACUUCUCCAGAAGAAAAAAGAUGCAGCUUCAUUACAUCUAAUUCUGGUACGAAUAACUUCAAGAAUCAUGCAUAUCAAAAAUUACUCAUAAUAAGAAAAAAAUUUUGUCUAUCUAGUCUUAAGUUCCAUGUAUUUUUGCUCUUGCAGAUCCUAUCUAUGUUGCUUAUCAUGAUCAAGAAUGGGGUGUUCCUGCUCAUGAUGACAGGUAAAUAUUCAUAAUUUUUUUGAUUUUCUGAAAUUUCAUACAAGUACAUAACUGGAGGUUAGGAGCUGAUAUAUUUAUGCUUUGCAGGCUGCUGUUUGAAUUGUUAGUAUUAACUGGUGCACAAGUUGGAUCAGAUUGGACUUCGGUUUUAAAGAAAAGACAAGAAUUCAGGGAUGCUUUCGCAGAAUUUGAUGCAGAAACCGUCUCCAAAUAUUCAGAGAAGAAAAUUAUGUCAAUUAGUACUAAAUAUUCUAUAGCUUUGAGCCAAGUAAGGGGGAUUGUGGACAAUUCUAUCCGAAUUCUCCAGGUACUUAAUUAUAUCUUGUCAAUGAUGAUAAAAAAUUAUCCGCAAUCAGACACUAGUGUUCUGUUGUGUUCUGUUCUUAUUUCUUAACCAAUUCUCCUAAUCUUCGUACAGAUCAAGAAAGAUUUCGGAUCAUUUGACAAGUAUCUGUGGGGAUUCGUGAAUUAUAAGCCAAUCGUCACUCAAUACAAAUCAAGCCACAAAAUGCCGGUCAAGACAUCAAAAUCAGAAGGCAUUAGCAAAGACAUGGUAAAGAGGGGAUUCCGGCUAGUCGGACCAACUGUCAUACAUUCCUUCAUGCAAGCGGCUGGCCUCACCAACGACCACUUGACCACCUGUCCGCAGCACCUCCAGUGCCUUGCAUUGGCAUCUCAGACUGGCGCUUUCGUGGCGCCAGCUCUAUAAGACCAUGACAAACACUUGCUAUUAAUUCUACUAGACAGAGUGUAACAUAAUAGCUUAUUUGAUCUCU
Molecule: long non-coding RNA, 7316 nt
Filed under: Daucus carota (carrot)
Lineage: Eukaryota; Viridiplantae; Streptophyta; Magnoliopsida; Apiales; Apiaceae
Description: long non-coding RNA (DCAR_LNC000812)
Source: RNAcentral